AUCCGCUCGCUGUAGCGGUGGCUCAACCUGUGGUAGUGGGGGAGGGUCGGGUAACUCCCUUCUCUCCUCUCGGCCUUGCUGGGCAGCAAUGAUCCUUUCUAGCAGCUCAAAUAUUCUGUCCAUAUCUUCUCGAAGCGAAUCAUCCCGGUCUGCUCGGUUUAGUGGGGGUCUUCCUCUCCUCAUCUCUCUGCACCUGCAUUUCACAAGGAAGGUUUGAGUAACGAUUAAUCGGUUGGUAUUUCUCUAAGUAU
This 251-nucleotide long non-coding RNA is filed under the name Carica papaya (papaya). Its description in RNAcentral is "long non-coding RNA (CPAP_LNC003104)". The record is from RNAcentral. Lineage: Eukaryota; Viridiplantae; Streptophyta; Magnoliopsida; Brassicales; Caricaceae.